RNAcentral lists this transfer RNA (88 nucleotides) under Bacillota bacterium. RNAcentral's name for it is "tRNA-Ser". It matches the Rfam family "tRNA". Rfam says of the family: Transfer RNA (tRNA) molecules are approximately 80 nucleotides in length. Their secondary structure includes four short double-helical elements and three loops (D, anti-codon, and T loops). Lineage: Bacteria; Bacillati; Bacillota. The record is from RNAcentral. RNAcentral also lists the same sequence under 1 other name.
GGAGAGGUGUCCGAGCGGUUUAUGGUGCUGGUCUUGAAAACCAGUGAGGGUAACACCUCCGUGGGUUCGAAUCCCACCCUCUCCGCCA